CAUGCAGUCGAGUGGAACGACAACAUUGAAUCCUCGGAGGAUUUGUUGGGCGUCGAGCGGCGGACGGGUGAGUAAUGCCUAGGAAAUUGCCUUGAUGUGGGGGAUAACCAUUGGAAACGAUGGCUAAUACCGCAUAAUGCCUACGGGCCAAAGAGGGGGAUCUUCGGACCUCUCGCGUCAAGAUAUGCCUAGGUGGGAUUAGCUAGUUGGUGAGGUAAUGGCUCACCAAGGCAACGAUCCCUAGCUGGUUUGAGAGGAUGAUCAGCCACACUGGAACUGAGACACGGUCCAGACUCCUACGGGAGGCAGCAGUGGGGAAUAUUGCACAAUGGGCGAAAGCCUGAUGCAGCCAUGCCGCGUGUGUGAAGAAGGCCUUCGGGUUGUAAAGCACUUUCAGUCAGGAGGAAAGGGUGUGAGUUAAUACCUCACAUCUGUGACGUUACUGACAGAAGAAGCACCGGCUAACUCCGUGCCAGCAGCCGCGGUAAUACGGAGGGUGCGAGCGUUAAUCGGAAUUACUGGGCGUAAAGCGUACGCAGGCGGUUUGUUAAGCGAGAUGUGAAAGCCCCGGGCUCAACCUGGGAACUGCAUUUCGAACUGCAUGCAGUCGCAUGCAGUCGCAUGCAGUCGCAUGCAGUCGCAUGCAGUCGAUGCGUA
This 657-nucleotide ribosomal RNA is filed under the name uncultured Gammaproteobacteria bacterium. Its description in RNAcentral is "bacterial SSU rRNA". It matches the Rfam family "Bacterial small subunit ribosomal RNA", at positions 54 to 692 of the family's 1533-position model. Lineage: Bacteria; Pseudomonadati; Pseudomonadota; Gammaproteobacteria. The record is from RNAcentral.